UGAGAACACAGAUUGCUGCACUUCUGC
RNAcentral lists this non-coding RNA (27 nucleotides) under Homo sapiens (human). The record is from RNAcentral. Lineage: Eukaryota; Metazoa; Chordata; Mammalia; Primates; Hominidae.